UACGUAGGCAGCAAGCGUUGUUCGGAAUUACUGGGCGUAAAGAGUGUGUAGGCGGUGUUCCAAGUCUGUUGUGAAAUCUCCCGGCUUAACUGGGAGGGUGCGGCGGAAACUGGGAUGCUAGAGGAUGGGAGAGGUAAGCGGAAUUCCUGGUGUAGCGGUGAAAUGCGUAGAUAUCGUAAGGAAGACCAGUGGCGAAGGCGGGUCUCUGGACAGUUCCUGACGCUGAGGCACGAAGGUCAGGGGAGCAAACGGG
This 253-nucleotide ribosomal RNA is filed under the name uncultured bacterium. RNAcentral's name for it is "partial 16S ribosomal RNA". It matches the Rfam family "Bacterial small subunit ribosomal RNA", at positions 524 to 776 of the family's 1533-position model. The record is from RNAcentral.